Molecule: ribosomal RNA, 775 nt
Filed under: uncultured Neocallimastigales
Lineage: Eukaryota; Fungi; Neocallimastigomycota; Neocallimastigomycetes; Neocallimastigales
Description: partial large subunit ribosomal RNA
Rfam family: Eukaryotic large subunit ribosomal RNA
Source: RNAcentral
CGUCUAUAUACGUAUAGCAUAUCAAUAAGCGGAGGAAAAGAAACUAACUAGGAUUCCCUCAGUAACGGCGAGUGAAGCGGGAAGAGCUCAAAUUUGAAAUCUUCAAGGUUCUACCUUGACGAAUUGUAGUUUAAAGAAGUGUUUUCUGUUGGAGUUUUGGUAAAAGUUCUUUGGAAUAGGACAUCAUAGAGGGUGAGAAUCCCGUAUUUGACCAUUAUUUCCAACUUUGUGAUACACUUUCAAAGAGUCGGAUUGUUUGGGAAUGCAGUCCAAAAUGGGUGGUAAAUUUCAUCUAAAGCUAAAUACUGGCGAGAGACCGAUAGCGAACAAGUACCGUGAGGGAAAGAUGAAAAGAACUUUGAAAAGAGAGUUAAACAGUACGUGAAAUUGUCAAAAGGGAAGCGUUUGACACCAGUGUUGUUUUCUCGAAAAUCAAUUAAAAAAGAUUGGAUUUUGUGUUGUAUUGACUUUAUCAGCUUUCUGCACUCUUUUCUUGUCUUUUUUAAUGCACUUUUCGUUUAACAAGUCAACAUCAAUUUCUUUUGUUGUAAAAGGGUCAUUGGAAGGUGGCUUUCUUUUCGGAGAAAGUGUUUAUAGCCUUUGGCUUCUGCAAUCGGAGAGAUUGAGGUCUGCAGCGUAGAUCCUUCGGGGUUAGAUACAUUUGUGCUAAGUUAUAGCCUUUCAUAGACAACUUGUUGACUAUGAUCAGUCAUGUAGCUUACUCGCUUAUGUCUAUUUUACCUACGCUUAGGAUGUUGACGAUCAGCUGAGCGCG